GGGCGUUUAGCUCAGCUGGUAGAGCAUCGGCUUUACAUGCCGACGGUCGUCGGUUCGAUCCCGGCAGCGCCCACCA
This 76-nucleotide transfer RNA is filed under the name Acidimicrobiia bacterium. RNAcentral's name for it is "tRNA-Val". It matches the Rfam family "tRNA". From Rfam's summary of the family: Transfer RNA (tRNA) molecules are approximately 80 nucleotides in length. Lineage: Bacteria; Bacillati; Actinomycetota; Acidimicrobiia. The record is from RNAcentral.